GCGGUGCCCGAUGCCGAGGCGGUGCCCGAUGCCGAGGCGGUGCCCGAGGCCGAGGCGGUGCCCGAUGCGGUUCCCGAGGCGGUCCCCGAUGCAAUGCCAGAGACGGUGCCAGAGACGGUUCCCGAUGUAAUGCCCGAGACCGAGGCUGUUCCGGAGGUCGAGGCGGUGCCCGAUGUUGUUCCCGAUGCCGAGGCGGUGACCGAGGCCGUUCCUGAGACCGUUCCCGAGGCGGUGCCCGAUGCCGAGGUCGUUCCCGAGGCGGUGUCCUUGUCCGAUGCCGUUCCCGAGGCGGUGCCCGAUGCCGAGGUCGUUCCCGAGGCGGUGUCCUUGUCCGAUGCCGUUCCUGAGGCCAUUCCC
Long non-coding RNA from Cyprinus carpio carpio, 357 nucleotides. The record is from Ensembl. NCBI's taxonomy places the organism in Eukaryota, Metazoa, Chordata, Actinopteri, Cypriniformes, Cyprinidae.